Non-coding RNA from Pseudophryne corroboree (corroboree frog), 74 nucleotides. NCBI's taxonomy places the organism in Eukaryota, Metazoa, Chordata, Amphibia, Anura, Myobatrachidae. The record is from the annotation of a RefSeq genome assembly.
GGCUCUGUGGCGCAAUGGAUAGCGCAUUGGGACUUCUAAUUCAAAGGUUGUGGGUUCGAGUCCCACCAGAGUCA